RNAcentral lists this transfer RNA (123 nucleotides) under Aspergillus arachidicola. RNAcentral's name for it is "tRNA-OTHER". It matches the Rfam family "tRNA". From Rfam's summary of the family: Transfer RNA (tRNA) molecules are approximately 80 nucleotides in length. Lineage: Eukaryota; Fungi; Ascomycota; Eurotiomycetes; Eurotiales; Aspergillaceae. The record is from RNAcentral.
AGCAUGUUAGCUCAGGGGAAGAGCGCCGGGCUCAUAACCCGGAGGUACGAUUUCACCUCACCAACCAAUCAUAGUCCAAUACUAACAAACAAUAGGUCCCUGGAUCGAAACCAGGACAUGCUA